RNAcentral lists this ribosomal RNA (1385 nucleotides) under Salmonella enterica. RNAcentral describes it as "bacterial LSU rRNA". It matches the Rfam family "Bacterial large subunit ribosomal RNA", at positions 1576 to 2925 of the family's 2925-position model. Lineage: Bacteria; Pseudomonadati; Pseudomonadota; Gammaproteobacteria; Enterobacterales; Enterobacteriaceae. The record is from RNAcentral. RNAcentral also lists the same sequence under 1 other name.
ACUACGGUGCUGAAGCAACAAAUGCCCUGCUUCCAGGAAAAGCCUCUAAGCAUCAGGUAACAUCAAAUCGUACCCCAAACCGACACAGGUGGUCAGGUAGAGAAUACCAAGGCGCUUGAGAGAACUCGGGUGAAGGAACUAGGCAAAAUGGUGCCGUAACUUCGGGAGAAGGCACGCUGACACGUAGGUGAAGUGAUUUACUCACGGAGCUGAAGUCAGUCGAAGAUACCAGCUGGCUGCAACUGUUUAUUAAAAACACAGCACUGUGCAAACACGAAAGUGGACGUAUACGGUGUGACGCCUGCCCGGUGCCGGAAGGUUAAUUGAUGGGGUCAGCGCAAGCGAAGCUCCUGAUCGAAGCCCCGGUAAACGGCGGCCGUAACUAUAACGGUCCUAAGGUAGCGAAAUUCCUUGUCGGGUAAGUUCCGACCUGCACGAAUGGCGUAAUGAUGGCCAGGCUGUCUCCACCCGAGACUCAGUGAAAUUGAACUCGCUGUGAAGAUGCAGUGUACCCGCGGCAAGACGGAAAGACCCCGUGAACCUUUACUAUAGCUUGACACUGAACAUUGAGCCUUGAUGUGUAGGAUAGGUGGGAGGCUUUGAAGUGUGGACGCCAGUCUGCAUGGAGCCGACCUUGAAAUACCACCCUUUAAUGUUUGAUGUUCUAACGUGGACCCGUAAUCCGGGUUGCGGACAGUGUCUGGUGGGUAGUUUGACUGGGGCGGUCUCCUCCUAAAGAGUAACGGAGGAGCACGAAGGUUGGCUAAUCCUGGUCGGACAUCAGGAGGUUAGUGCAAUGGCAUAAGCCAGCUUGACUGCGAGCGUGACGGCGCGAGCAGGUGCGAAAGCAGGUCAUAGUGAUCCGGUGGUUCUGAAUGGAAGGGCCAUCGCUCAACGGAUAAAAGGUACUCCGGGGAUAACAGGCUGAUACCGCCCAAGAGUUCAUAUCGACGGCGGUGUUUGGCACCUCGAUGUCGGCUCAUCACAUCCUGGGGCUGAAGUAGGUCCCAAGGGUAUGGCUGUUCGCCAUUUAAAGUGGUACGCGAGCUGGGUUUAGAACGUCGUGAGACAGUUCGGUCCCUAUCUGCCGUGGGCGCUGGAGAACUGAGGGGGGCUGCUCCUAGUACGAGAGGACCGGAGUGGACGCAUCACUGGUGUUCGGGUUGUCAUGCCAAUGGCACUGCCCGGUAGCUAAAUGCGGAAGAGAUAAGUGCUGAAAGCAUCUAAGCACGAAACUUGCCCCGAGAUGAGUUCUCCCUGAGACUUUAGGUCUCCUGAAGGAACGUUGAAGACGACGACGUUGAUAGGCCGGGUGUGUAAGCGCAGCGAUGCGUUGAGCUAACCGGUACUAAUGAACCGUGAGGCUUAACCUUACAACGCCGAAG